RNAcentral lists this ribosomal RNA (427 nucleotides) under uncultured bacterium. Its description in RNAcentral is "partial 16S ribosomal RNA". It matches the Rfam family "Bacterial small subunit ribosomal RNA", at positions 354 to 796 of the family's 1533-position model. The record is from RNAcentral.
GUGAGGAAUCUUCCACAAUGGGCGAAAGCCUGAUGGAGCAACGCCGCGUGAAGGAUGAAGGCCCUCGGGUUGUAAACUUCUUUUAUAAGUGAAGAAUAUGACGGUAACUUAUGAAUAAGCACCGGCUAACUACGUGCCAGCAGCCGCGGUCAUACGUAGGGUGCAAGCAUUAUCCGGAGUGACUGGGCGUAAAGAGUUGCGUAGGUGGUUUGUUAAGUGAAUAGUGAAAUCUGGGGGCUCAACCUCACAGGCUAUUAUUCAAACUGGCAAACUCGAGAAUGGUAGAGGUAACUGGAAUUUCUUGUGUAGGAGUGAAAUCCGUAGAUAUAAGAAGGAACACCAAUGGCGUAGGCAGGUUACUGGACCAUUUCUGACACUGAGGCACGAAAGCGUGGGGAGCGAACGGGAUUAGAAACCCGGGUAGUCC